ACUCUUUCUUCAUCUAUUCAAGGAAUUCUAGGUGAGUGUGCAUCCAAGCUUUAUUCUAAUCUCUGGCAUUGCUUUUAGAAAUGUUUGAGUCAUUAUCUGCUUUUGUGUUCGUCUCAAGUCUUCCUAUCAUCAUAAUAGAUCAUUAUUAUUAUAGGGUUCUUUUUUGGUUUGUUUGUCCAUUUUCCUAACUUAUUUCUUGACUUUGAAUUUAAUAUUAGGGCUGGUCUCUGGGACAAUGAGAUGGUACAAUGAAUAAAAUGCCAGGCAUGGAGUUAGAAGGUGUGAUAGAGGUUUCAAACCCAAGUCUGGGAAAUUGCAGGAGCCUCAGCCACAACGGGGAAAGGGCUCCAGGAAAGAUUCUGGAAUCUUAAGAGAGCAGGAGAUUCUGUGGGAGAGGCAAUCCUGAGACAGCCUGAGGAAAAGGUCUGGUCAAGACUUGCUCCUGAGAAAAAGAAUUAUAUCUUUCUCCUGGUGACUGGACACCCUUCGCACCCCCCAAUCCCCAACUGAAGUGAUCAGCUGGAGAAGUCACAAACAGUUGACAAGAUUACCUCACAGUUCCUGGUACCCUGGGUCUGAACUGUGCCCAGUGGGACCAAGAUCAGGGCCAUCCAAGCCUUAAACUCUCAGGGGGCCAAGACCACCAAGGCCUGGGUUCCCCAUCUUGAGGAGGGAAGAAGUAACAGCUAGAAUAGGGACACCUUUUUUCCAUCUUUCCUCACGAACCCCUCCUGUAGCCAUUUCCCUGUGUUAUUCCCAAUUAAUCAGUUAGAAUAAAAUGUGUUGUCUUCCCUAACUGAUUCUAGUGUGAGUGGGGAAACAGUUCUAGCUUGAGGGGGAGUUCCAGCUUGAGGGGGAGAGUAACUUCUCUCUCUCUCUCUCUCUCUCUCUCUCUCUCUCUCUCUCUCUCACUCUCUCUCUCUCUCUCUUUCUGAGGAGGAGGGAAAUUCUAUAUAUCAUAGUAUUAGAGGGAAGUCAAGAGACAGUUUGGGUGAGUAGCUAUAGCUGAGGGGAGCCUUAAGGGGGGAACUACAGAUUCACUACCCCUCUUCUUUCCCUUGGCCAAGUUAAAUAGUGCUGUCUCUCCUGGACUCUGCCUUGAGAGGGGAGGUCUCCAUUCUUUCUUUUUUUACCACCAGACUAAUUCUCUCUAUUACAAAGGACCUGAAGUUAAAUUUAGCCUCAGAUACUCACUAGCAAAUCAUUUAACCCUGUUUGCCUCAGUUUCCUUAUCUGUAAAAUGAACUGGAGAAAGAAGUGGCAAAGCAGUCCAAUAUCUUUGCCAAGAAAAUGCCCAAAAAGGGUCACAAAAUGUCAGACAUGACUAAAAAUGACUAAACCACAACUUUUCUCCACAGCAUUUCUGGAGGAACAGUCUGUGUUGGUGCUUUCUUCAAGAUAUUUAGGAUAAGGUUGGGAAUCUACAGAGUUCCAGUAUUCCCCAAAUGGUCUUAUUUAGGACAAAGUCUGAUUAAUGCCCUCCUGAUCUGAAGCUGGAUGGCAACUGGGAUUGGAAAGUGACCUGGUCCUUCUCUGGUCAUCUAAGUGCAAUGUGCUAAAUUCAAUCUGAUGCAUUUUCAAGAUUUGUCUGAUGGAGUUGUGGAGGGGGAUUCACCCUAGUAUUUUCCAUUGCUCAAUCAUCUUGGUUUUCCUCACCACUCUGCAAAUAGAGGAAGCUACUAAAUGUGAAGCUCAGCUCCCACUCUAACUCCAAAACUCAAGGAGACCCUGUUAAGACGCACCAGUACUGCAUAGAGGAAAAGAAGCUGCUGAUUCAUAAUGAAUGGAUCUCUGGGUAGUGGAGAAGAAAUAUAUUUGGAAAUGAAGAUAAGGAAACUGAUAUAGACAGAGGCUCGCACUGAUGCCUGUCCUUGCUGGAGCCUGCCAGGGGUCUUUUGAAGUCGUCUGUAUCAUUGGGUCUGAGGAGGGAAAGCGAGCCACAUCUAAUCUGCCGCCAUGCUUACCCAGAAGUCCUCCUGACUCUCCAGAUCAUACUCCACAAGACAACCACCAAUCCUAGGAGAGUUGGAAAACAAGAGAUAUGCAUACCAAACAUCUUUUCACCUAGACAUCAUUCUGCCCAAGAUAUCUGCAUGCCAAAUAUAAUCAAGUCUUCUACUCAUGGACAAUGGGUGGGAUUUGUAUUUCUCUAGCAAUGAUUGGGUGCUAGCUUCUUGAGGAGGGUGUAAAGAGAAGAUUAUAGCACAAGAUGGCUUUUGCAAGAAGAAGCAAGAGACGGAAAUUUGAAGGAACUGUCAAUCAACCAAAAGGAAGGAAGAUUCCAAUAGAAUCUGAUGAGAAGGCAGUUGGGAAAACCAGAAACUAAACUGGGAGACUUUCUUCCUGCUGACUGGGAGGAAAGAGGCUGAGAAAUAGGCUUGCUCUAGAUUCCUGGCUACUCAUUGACUUAAUAUAGAAAAGACUGGAGCUUAGCUCUGAAGAACCAUUUCAAUUCAUCAGCAAUAUCCCCUUAUAGACAAAAUAAUUUUAUUUCCCUGUAUUGAACCCUGUAGGAGAUUAGGGAGACCUUAAUUUCCCUCUUCCCUCUCCCACCUCCCUUAAUUCCCUUGAACUCAGUAUAAAACCCCUUUCAGAAAAGAGUUAUAUUGUGAGAUUAAUCCUUAAGAAACUUCUGAUAGCUUACCCUUUGAGAAAAGCCAUUAAGAUCAACUGGGAGAGACACAGGAAGUGGAGUGGGGGAAAGGAGUGCAAACCUUAGCCUUUUCUCUAACUUAUUUCCUGGUGUAAUUGCUCCAACACCUACCUGCUACCAUAAAUAGAAGCAUCUAUUGCAAGGGAUGAGCACAUUUCCAAGAUCCCCCCAACCCCACUCAUUAUCUGGACAUACUGGUUGAUAAACUUUUUAUUUACUUCAUAAGUCAUAUCCUAUUGCAAAUGCUAGCUUAUGAGAAGAGGAGGAAGUAGCUAUAUUUACUGCACCAACAAGACUUUUCCCUUAUUAAAUAUAAUUACAGGAUUUCUAUUAAUCUUGCUAUAAUCCUGUUAAUCAUUAAUUAAGCACUGUCCCAGAUUAAUAAUUUAUUGUGGCUAAAUAGUGAUUAAUUAUGAUGAAUGGGGUCUUAUUUAAAAAGAAUCACAGGGUCAAGGAUUCUCAUUCUCUUCAAAAAAAAAGAGAACAGCAGAGAAUGAUGUGUCUGUAACAUACCUUAUUUUCUUCAAAUCUUUUGCAUUUCAAUAAUUUUUAAAAAAUGUUCUUCAUAUAAAAGUAUAUUGCUUUCCUUUCCUUCACUUCCUAUUAUCUCCUGAGUUCUCUUUCCCUCUCCUUUCUUUCUACUCCAAGUAAAUUUCUAUUCUUCCCCAUUGAUUAGUUUAUUUCUCUUCUUCAAUCCUCUUGACUGGGAUAUAAUUUGUCUUUCUCAUAAGAAGUGUUUUGCCCCAAUAUUUUGAAGAACCUAGAUAGAGGCUAGUAUUUUCCCUUUCUUUUAGAAUCCCCCUUUCUCUAAAAACCAGGUCCUUGACCUCUCUACUUCAAAUUUCAAAAGUCUUGAGGGGAGUAUUUAGCUCAUAUUUUUUAAAGAUAUUAAAGACCCAGUAACUCUAUCUUUUAAAUAUAUCAAAGAAGAUUAACUCAUUUAUCUUUUAAGGUCCUUCCAACACUUUUAUUUUACAGAAGCAACUUAAGUAUGAUAGAUAUUAAAUAAGGAGAAGGAGGAGAAAGAGAAGAAGAAUGCAUUUAAUGUAAUCCAGUAGUGAUCAUUACAUCAUAACUAUAUUAAUCAUUAUUUUAUAUUAUAUAUUUAUCAUGUAUUAUGAUAUAAUAGCUAUCAUAUGAAAGUGUUCUAAAUCUCUUAUAAUCAGGGAGAUACAAAUGAAAACAACUCUGAGGUAUCACCUCACACCCAACAGAUUGGCUAACAUGACAGCAAAGGAAAGUGGUGAAUGUUGGAGGGGAUGUGGCAAAGUAGGGACAUUAAUUCAUUGCUGGUGGAGUUGUGAAUUGAUCCAACCAUUCUGGAGGGCAAUUUGGAACUAUGCCCAAAGGGCAAUAAAAGACUGUCUGCCCUUUGAAUCAGCCAUAGCACUUUUGGGUUUGUGCCCCAAAGAGAUAAUAAAGAAAAAGACUUGUACAAGAAUAUUCAUAACUGCUCUCUUUGUGGUGACCAAAAAUUGGAAAAUGAGGGGAUGCCCUUCAAUUGGGGAAUGGCUGUACAAAUUGUGUACAUGAUGGUGAUGGAAUACUAUUGUGCUAAAAGGAAUAAUAAACUGGAGGAAUUCCAUGUGAACUGGAACGACCUCCAGGAAUUGAUGCAGAGGGAAAGGAGCAGAACCUGGAGAACAUUGUACACAGAGACUGAUCCACUGUGGUACAAUCAAACGUAAUGGAUUUCUCCAUUAGUGUCAAUGCAAUGUCCCUGAACAAUCUGCAGGGAUCUAGGAGCAAAAACACUACCCACAAGCAGAGAACAAACAGUGGGAGUAAAAACAACGAGGAAGGGCAACUGUUUGACUACAAAGGCUGAGGGGAUAUGACUGAGGAGAGACUUUAAAUGAACACCCUAAUGCGAAUACCAAUAACAUGGAAAUGGGUUCAGAUCAAGGACACAUGUGAUACCCAGAGGAAUCAUGCGUCAGCUAUGGGAGGGGUGGGGGUGGUGAGAGAAAAAGAAAAUGAUCUUUCUUUCCAAUGAAUAAUGUUUGAAAAUGACCAAAUAAAAUAAUGUUUAAAAGGAAAAAAAUAUGAAUAGUUCCUGAAUUUGUUACUUUUUAAGCAUGUAAAAAAGACAGAAAAU
This is a long non-coding RNA of Monodelphis domestica (gray short-tailed opossum), 4751 nucleotides long. RefSeq lists it as uncharacterized. Lineage: Eukaryota; Metazoa; Chordata; Mammalia; Didelphimorphia; Didelphidae. The record is from RefSeq and is a predicted model, not a curated record.